AGAGUUUGAUCCUGGCUCAGGAUGAACGCUAGCGACAGGCCUAACACAUGCAAGCCGAGGGGUAACAUGAGUGCUUGCACUUGAUGACGACCGGCGCACGGGUGCGUAACGCGUAUGCAACUUACCUUGUACUGGGGAAUAGCCCGUGGAAACGCGGAUUAAUGUCCCAUAACACUACAAUCUCGCAUGGAAAAGUGGUUAAAGUUCCGACGGUACAAGAUGGGCAUGCGUGACAUUAGCUAGUUGGUGAGGUAAGGGCUCACCAAGGCGACGAUGUCUAGGGGUUCUGAGAGGAAGGUCCCCCACACUGGUACUGAGACACGGACCAGACUCCUACGGGAGGCAGCAGUGAGGAAUAUUGGUCAAUGGGCGCAAGCCUGAACCAGCCAUGUCGCGUGCAGGAAGACUGCCCUACGGGUUGUAAACUGCUUUUGUAUGGGAAGAAACGUUGGUACGUGUACCAAUUUGCCGGUACCAUACGAAUAAGGAUCGGCUAACUCCGUGCCAGCAGCCGCGGUAAUACGGAGGAUCCAAGCGUUAUCCGGAUUUAUUGGGUUUAAAGGGUGCGUAGGCGGUAGAAUAAGUCAGUGGUGAAAUCCUGCAGCUUAACUGUAGAACUGCCAUUGAUACUGUUUUACUUGAGUGUAAUUGAGGUAGGCGGAAUGUGUUGUGUAGCGGUGAAAUGCAUAGAUAUAACACAGAACACCGAUUGCGAAGGCAGCUUACUAAGUUAUAACUGACGCUGAUGCACGAAAGCGUGGGUAGCGAACAGGAUUAGAUACCCUGGUAGUCCACGCCGUAAACGAUGAUUACUCGCUGUAGGCAAUACACCGUCUGUGGCUGAGCGAAAGCAUUAAGUAAUCCACCUGGGGAGUACGUUGGCAACAAUGAAACUCAAAGGAAUUGACGGGGGCCCGCACAAGCGGAGGAACAUGUGGUUUAAUUCGAUGAUACGCGAGGAACCUUACCUGGACUUAAAUGUAGAUUGACGUAUCCAGAGAUGGAUAUUUCUUCGGACAAUUUACAAGGUGCUGCAUGGUUGUCGUCAGCUCGUGCCGUGAGGUGUCGGGUUAAGUCCCAUAACGAGCGCAGCCCCUGUUGUUAGUUACCAGCACAUCAUGGUGGGGACUCUAACAAGACUGCCGGUGUAAACCGCGAGGAAGGUGGGGAUGACGUCAAAUCAGCACGGCCCUUACGUCCAGGGCUACACACGUGUUACAAUGGCCGGUACAGAGGGCAGCUACUUGGUGACAAGAUGCGAAUCUCAAAAACCGGUCUCAGUUCGGAUCGAAGUCUGCAACCCGACUUCGUGAAGCUGGAUUCGCUAGUAAUCGCAUAUCAGCCAUGACGCGGUGAAUACG
RNAcentral lists this ribosomal RNA (1361 nucleotides) under metagenome. Its description in RNAcentral is "bacterial SSU rRNA". It matches the Rfam family "Bacterial small subunit ribosomal RNA", at positions 8 to 1370 of the family's 1533-position model. The record is from RNAcentral.